GCACUUUAAGCAGUGAAGAAGACUCCGUGGUUAAUACCCACGGACGAUGACAUUAGCUGCAGAAUAAGCACCGGCUAACUCUGUGCCAGCAGCCGCGGUAAUACAGAGGGUGCAAGCGUUAAUCGGAAUUACUGGGCGUAAAGGGAGCGUAGGUGGCUCUAUAAGUCAGAUGUGAAAUCCCCGGGCUUAACCUGGGAACUGCAUCUGAUACUGUUAGGCUAGAGUAGGUGAGAGGAAGGUAGAAUUCCAGGUGUAGCGGUGAAAUGCGUAGAGAUCUGGAGGAAUACCGAUGGCGAAGGCAGCCUCCUGGCAUCAUACUGACACUGAGGCUCGAAAGCGUGGGUAGCAAACAGGAUUAGAUACCCUGGUAGUCCACGCCGUAAACGAUGUCUACUAGUCGUUGG
This 404-nucleotide ribosomal RNA is filed under the name uncultured bacterium. RNAcentral's name for it is "bacterial SSU rRNA". It matches the Rfam family "Bacterial small subunit ribosomal RNA", at positions 430 to 826 of the family's 1533-position model. The record is from RNAcentral.